AUUGAACGCUGGCGGCAGGCCUAACACGUGCAAGUCGAACGGUAACAGGAAACAGCUUGCUGUUUCGCUGACGAGUGGCGGACGGGUGAGUAAUGUCUGGGAAACUGCCUGAUGGAGGGGGAUAACUACUGGAAACGGUAGCUAAUACCGCAUAACGUCGCAAGACCAAAGAGGGGGACCUUCGGGCCUCUUGCCAUCGGAUGUGCCCAGAUGGGAUUAGCUAGUAGGUGGGGUAACGGCUCACCUAGGCGACGAUCCCUAGCUGGUCUGAGAGGAUGACCAGCCACACUGGAACUGAGACACGGUCCAGACUCCUACGGGAGGCAGCAGUGGGGAAUAUUGCACAAUGGGCGCAAGCCUGAUGCAGCCAUGCCGCGUGUAUGAAGAAGGCCUUCGGGCUGUAAAGUACUUUCAGCGGGGAGGAAGGGAGUAAAGUUAAUACCUUUACUCAUUGACGUUACCCGCAGAAGAAGCACCGGCUAACUCCGUG
This 490-nucleotide ribosomal RNA is filed under the name uncultured bacterium. RNAcentral describes it as "partial 16S ribosomal RNA". It matches the Rfam family "Bacterial small subunit ribosomal RNA", at positions 30 to 507 of the family's 1533-position model. The record is from RNAcentral.